UGAGGAAUAUUGGUCAAUGGGCGUAAGCCUGAACCAGCCAAGUAGCGUGCAGGAAGACGGCCCUACGGGUUGUAAACUGCUUUUAUGCGGGGAUAAAGUGCAAUACGUGUAUUGCUUUGCAGGUACCGCAUGAAUAAGGACCGGCUAAUUCCGUGCCAGCAGCCGCGGUAAUACGGAAGGUCCGGGCGUUAUCCGGAUUUAUUGGGUUUAAAGGGAGCGCAGGCCACCCCUUAAGCGUGUUGUGAAAUGCCGCGGCUCAACCGUGGCACUGCAGCGCGAACUGGGGCGGGCUUGAGUGCGCCGGAGGUAGGCGGAAUUCGUGGUGUAGCGGUGAAAUGCUUAGAUAUCACGAAGAACUCCGAUUGCGAAGGCAGCCUACCGUAGCGUUACUGACGCUGAGGCUCGAAGGUGCGGGUAUCGAACAGGAUUAGAUACC
Molecule: ribosomal RNA, 436 nt
Filed under: uncultured bacterium
Lineage: Bacteria
Description: bacterial SSU rRNA
Rfam family: Bacterial small subunit ribosomal RNA
Source: RNAcentral